GACGAACGCUGGCGGCGUGCUUAACACAUGCAAGUCGAACGGAAAGGCCCUGCUUGCAGGGUACUCGAGUGGCGAACGGGUGAGUAACACGUGGGUGAUCUGCCCUGCACUUCGGGAUAAGCCUGGGAAACGGGGUCUAAUACCGGAUAGGAGCCAUCUUUAGUGUGAUGGUUGGAAAGUUUUUUCGGUGUAGGAUGAGCUUGCGGCCUAGCAGCUUGUUGGUGGGGUAAUGGCCUACCAAGGCGGCGACGGGUAGCCGGCCUGAGAGGGUGGACGGCCACACUGGGACUGAGAUACGGCCCAGACUCCUACGGGAGGCAGCAGUGGGGAAUAUUGCACAAUGGGCGCAAGCCUGAUGCAGCGACGCCGCGUGGGGGAUGACGGCCUUCGGGUUGUAAACUCCUUUCGCUAGGGACGAAGCUUUUUGUGACGGUACCUAGAGAAGAAGCACCGGCUAACUACGUG
Molecule: ribosomal RNA, 465 nt
Filed under: uncultured bacterium
Lineage: Bacteria
Description: partial 16S ribosomal RNA
Rfam family: Bacterial small subunit ribosomal RNA
Source: RNAcentral